UGAAUACGAGACGCUAAGGCGUCGAAGUAGUGUAUGUCAUACUUCCAAGAAAAGCUUGCACUGUCAUAGAUAAAAAACGCCUGUACCAUAACCGACACAGGUGGGUAGGUAGAGUAUACUAAGGGGCGCGAGAUAGCUCUCUCUAAGGAACUCGGCAAAAUAACUCCGUAACUUCGGGAGAAGGAGUGCCUUAUUCUUAAGGUUGCAAUAACAAGAUCCAAGCAACUGUUUAUCAAAAACACAGGUCUCCGCUAAGUCGUAAGACGAUGUAUGGGGGCUGACGCCUGCCCAGUGCCAGAAGGUUAAAGAAGCUGGUUAGCAUUUGCGAAGCUAGUAACUGAAGCCCUGGUGAACGGCGGCCGUAACGAUAACGUUCCUAAGGUAGCGAAAUUCCUUGUCGGGUAAGUUCCGACCCGCACGAAAGGCGUAAUGAUUUGGAUACUGUCUCGGAGAGGGGCUCGGUGAAAUAGACUUGUCUGUGAAGAUGCGGACUACCUGCACCAGACAGAAAGACCCUAUGAAGCUUUACUGUAACUUGAAAUUGAAAUUGGACUUUAUUCGCGCAGUAUAGGUGGGAGGCGUUGAUUAUAAUCUUGCGGGAUUAUUGGAGCCAUUAGUGAGAUACCACUCUUGUAAUGUUAGAUUUCUAACUUUGAAUCAUUAUCUGGUCAAAGAACAGUUUCAGGCGGGCAGUUUGACUGGGGCGGUCGCCUCCUAAACGGUAACGGAGGCGUACAAAGGUUUCCUCUGAACGGUUAGAAAUCGUAUCUAGAGUGUAAAGGCAUAAGGAAGCUUGACUGUGAGACCUACAAGUCGAGCAGGGACGAAAGUCGGUCUUAGUGAUCUGACGGUACUGAGUGGAAAGGCCGUCACUCAACGGAUAAAAGUUACUCUAAGGAUAACAGGCUGGUCUCCCCCAAGAGUUCACAUCGACGGGGAGGUUUGGCACCUCGAUGUCGGCUCAUCGCAUCCUGGGGCGGUAGUACGUCCCAAGGGUUGGGCUGUUCGCCCAUGAAAGCGGUACGCGAGCUGGGUUCAGAACGUCGUGAGACAGUUCGGUCCAUAUCCGGUGUAGGCGUUAGAAUAUUGAGAGGAGCCUUCUUUAGUACGAGAGGACCGAGAAGGACAUACCUCUGGUGUACCAGUUAUCGUGCCAACGGUAAACGCUGGGUAGCUAUGUAUGGAGUGGAUAACCGCUGAAAGCAUCUAAGUGGGAAGCCCACCUCAAGAUAAGUAUUCUCAUCAU
Molecule: ribosomal RNA, 1246 nt
Filed under: metagenome
Description: bacterial LSU rRNA
Rfam family: Bacterial large subunit ribosomal RNA
Source: RNAcentral